This is a long non-coding RNA of Ficedula albicollis (Collared flycatcher), 2447 nucleotides long. NCBI's taxonomy places the organism in Eukaryota, Metazoa, Chordata, Aves, Passeriformes, Muscicapidae. The record is from Ensembl.
GGGAUGGAACAGGGAGAAGGGAGGGAUGGAGAAAGGAGGGAUGGAAUAAGAGAAGAGGGAAGGAUGGAAUAAGAGAAGAGGGAAGGCUGGAGCAGAGGGAGAAGCGAGGGAUGGAAUGGUGGAAUAGGGAGGGAUGGAGAGGAGAAGACGGAGGGAUGGAAUGGGAGGAGGAAGGCAGGGAUGGAACAGGGGGAGAAGGGAGGGAUGGAAUGAGAGAAGAAGGAUGGAGCAGUGGGAGAAGGGAGGGAUAGAACAGGAGGGGAUGGGAGGGAUGGAAUGGCGGAAUAGGGAGGGAUGGAGAAGGAGAAGACGGAGGGGUGGAAUGAGAGGAGGAAGGCAGGGAUGGAGAAGAGGGAGGGAUGGAGAAGGAGAAGACGGAGGGAUGGAAUGGUAGGAAGAAGGGAUGGAAUGGAGGGAGGAAGGCAGGGAUGGAAGAGGAGAAGGAAGAGAGGGAGGGAUGGAAUGAGAGAAGAGGGAAGGAUGGGAACGGUGGAGUAGGGAGGGAUGGAACUGAGAGCAGAGGCAGGGAUGGAGCAGGAGAAGGAAGGGAUGGAGAGGGAGAGAAGGAAGGCAGGGAAGGAACAGGGAGAGGAGGAAGGGAUGGAGUGGGAGAAAGAAGGGAUGGAGUGGGAGAAAGAAGGGAUGGAGAGAGAGAAGGAAGGGAUGGAGCAGACGAGAUGGGAGGGAUGGAACGGUGGAAAAGGAAAGGAUGGAAUAGGAGAAAAGGAGGGGAUGGAACGGUGGAAAAGGGAGGAAUGGAAUGGGAGAAGGAGGGCAGGGAUGUAACGGGAGAAAAGGCAGGGAUGGGGACAAGGAAAGGAGGGACAGUGGCAUGUGCCACCCCCUGCGGCCACCACACGCCCGGGACACCCCGGCGGGUCCCUGGAGCUGCCGGGGGCUCUGGAACGGCUCUGCCGGAGCUGCUGCUCCUCCCCCGGCAACUGGGGCGGCAGCAGGAGGUGACAUCCCCCGUGCCGGGGGAGGCGGGAGGCGAGCGGGGAUGGAUUGGAAAAUUUGAGGGGAAGUUACUCCCUGUGGAGCCAAGGAGCCGCCAGCAGGAGGGUCACCAGACAGGGAUGGCAUCCAGCCCAGCCCUCAUCCCAAUGAUCCAAGUUCCAAUAGCAAAGCCGAGGGCACACAGGAAGGAGGAAAUAAAAACGGGAAGAAAACCAACGGAGCCCCAAAUGGAUUUUAUGCAGAGAUCGACUGGGACAGAUAUAACUCACCUGAGCUGGAUGAGGAGGGAUACAGCAUCAGACCCGAGGAACCAGGAUCUACCAAAGGAAAGCACUUCUACUCCUCCAGCGAGUCGGAGGAGGAGGAGGAGGCGCACAAGAAGUUCAACAUCAAGAUCAAGCCCCUGCAAGCCAAGGACGCCCUGCGCAGCGCGGCCACCGUGGACGAGCUCCGGGCGUCCGUGGGCAACAUCGCCCUGUCCCCCUCCCCCGUGGUGAGUGUGCCCCCCUCCCCGGCCCCCUGAGCCGCAGGGACCACCCCCAGCUCGGCGGCAGAUCGUGUUCCGCUUGGGGUUUUCUUGGUGGUGGUUUCGGGGUCUGGCUCGCUGGGAUGUGUUGGAGUGUUUGGAGUGGCUUAAAAGUUCCCUUUGCUGCUCGUAAGGCACAUCGGGGUGUAUCGUUCCCGCGUUUUUCUCACCUCUUCUCCUCCUUUUUCAAUGAGGAAAAAAGAGGAAUUUCAAUCAAGGGGGAUUUUUAAUCAUCACCAUUCGGGGUCUUGCCAGGGCAAUCAUCUGUGGGAUUUUCAAUGGGAUUUUUGAUGGGUGUUUCUCACCCUGGAUGUGAAUCCCAAUUCUUGGAGGGUUCUUCCCAUUGAGAGUCUUAUCCUGAUUCCCAAGCCAAUGAAUCCAUCAGUGGGAUUUUCCAUGGGGAUUUUAGAGGUUUAUUUCUCACCCUGGAUGUGAAUCCCAAUUCUUGGAGGAUUCUUCCCAUUGAGAGUCUUACCCUGAUUCCCAAGCCAAUGAAUCCAUCUGUAGGAUUUUCCAUGGGAAUUUGGAGGUGUAUUUCUCACCCUGGAUGUGAAUCCCAAUUCUUGGAGGAUUCUUCCCAUUGAGAGUCUUACCCUGAUUCCCAAGCCAAGGAAAUCAUCUGUAGGAUUUUCCAUGGGAUUUUUGAUGGGUGUUUCUCACCCUGGCAAUGAAUCCCAGUUCCUGGAAGGUUCUUCCCAUUGAGAGUCUUAUCCUGAUUCCCAAGCCAAUGAAUCCAUCAGUGGGAUUUUCCAUGGGGAUUUUAGAGGUUUAUUUCUCACCCUGGAUGUGAAUCCCAAUUCUUGGAGGAUUCUUCCCAUUGAUAGUCUUACCCUGAUUCCCAAGCCAAGGAAAUCAUCUGUAGGAUUUUCCAUGGGAUUUUUGAUGGGUGUUUCUCACCCUGGCAAUGAAUCCCAGUUCCUGGAAGGUUCUUCCCAUUGAGAGUCUUAUCCUGAUUCCCAAGCCA